Molecule: long non-coding RNA, 2054 nt
Organism: Capsicum annuum
Lineage: Eukaryota; Viridiplantae; Streptophyta; Magnoliopsida; Solanales; Solanaceae
Exons: 2
Source: RefSeq, a predicted model, not a curated record
ACAGAUAAUAAUGAGACAUAAAACAUAUGAUCGUCCAGCUCUUGUAGCUCAGUUGGUUAGAGCACCCGUUUAGUAAGCGGGAGGUCUUGAGUUCGACUCUCAACAAGAGCAUAUUUUAAUCCCCAAUACCUUCUUUUAAUUUACUUGAACAGAAAAGUAGAGAACAGCUGAAUACUUUUUAAUGAAUAGCAGCAAAUGCAUAAUGAUGAUGUAAGAACUGUGAACAUGCAGUGCCCAACAUAAUUUUUACGUAAAAAAGAAGGGGAGAAUGAGAAGAGCAAGUAAACAUCUUGUAUCUUUCAACACACUUUAAUAAAGAGGUUUUACUUUUCAUCAAACAUAUUUCUCUUUAUUGUAUCUUUUUUGUGAUCUGUACCUAUUAGAUAUGUACAAUAUACUCUAAUGAAGCACGUGCCUUACAACUUCAGAAAUAUCUGAAUCAAUCAAAACAAGAAAAAAUUACAAGAUAUGGAGGAAACUUCCAAUUACCCCCACCCCUUUCUCAGAAACAGACGAGAAAGGAAUGAAAAAAAAAUUCGUACACGUAACAAUGUAUCACCAAUUUAUUUCUUGAUUUUCCACUUUUUGUUGCUGCUGCUAACAACCAUGUCAUGUCCAAACAAUAUCUUUAAGAGACGUCUUCAAGCCUGAUCAAAGACCUUUUUGCUGUGUCCCGUGAUCUUUUUGUCACUUCCAUCACAUGAAAAGGUGUAAUACUAGUACAGGUCGCAGAGGAAACAAACCUGUAGCUCGCUUCAAGCCAGGGCAUGUUUCAAGGUGUUUGCAGCAUCGAUUGCUCCCUCUGCAGGUCCAGCUCCAAUCAAUAUGUGCACUUCAUUGAUAAACAGUAUUAUUUCAUCGCUUUGUUUAAUUUCCUCCAUUAGUUUCUUCAGUCUUUCCUCAGACUCUCCAACUUAGCAAACUGACGGAAAACAAUCAUCUCGUCUAAUCUGUUUAAGAACUCUGGCCUGAAGUACUAUUUCAACUCCUCAGUCACAAGCUAUUUUUAUGGUUGUAACUACCAUCCUUCUCGUCAUAAUCUAUAUCAAAACCUAUACAAUUGCCACCUUUCUCUAUCAGACUGUUUUCAGCAUUCGAUGUAAUGAUGAGGAGUGUAUUCUUGAAGUUGACAGUUCUGCCCUUGCUGUCUGUCAAUCCAUCGUCAAGACUUUGAAGCAUCACCUUAAAGACAUCAGGAUGAGCCUUCUCAAUUUCAUCAAAGAGCACAACAGUGUUAGGUCAAUGCCUCACAGCUUCAGUUAAUUGACCACCUUCAGUGUAACCAACAUACCUAGGGGUGAACCGAUGAGUUUAGAGAUGGUGCGUUUCUCCAUAAACUCACUCAUAUCAAGCGAAUCAUUGCUUCAUUAGAACCAAAGUAGUACGCUGCUAAAGACAUGGCUAGUUCUGACAUCCCAACACCAGUUGGACCAGGAAAGAUGAAACUGACAAUAGGUCGGUUGGGAUUUUGAGUCCAACAUGAGCACGUCUGAUAGCACGACUAAUGGCUUUUACAGCUUCAUCCUGGCCAAUGACUCAGGUAUGAAGUGUUUCUUCACUUUUAGGAGGCGAUCAGAUUCAUCACUUUGGACCUUCUCUACAGGAAUGCCAGUCCAGGAAGAGGCCAUGUGCUGAAUAUCUGCCUCUGUCACUAGAGGACCGCAUCUCCUUCCUCAGAUUCGGCCUUGCUCAUCUCUUUGUUUUUGUCUAUCAAGGAGGAAUUAAAAUUGAACAUCUGGAACAUCUCAAUGCUUUCAAUAAGAAAUUAACCAGUCAAGUGGAAUUUUAUGCACCGGAUCGAGAAUAAACCAGGCACCUUUUCAAAAUCUUGACCACGGACAGCUUCAUUUUCUCCUUUGUGAUCUGGCGAAGUUCUUUCUCCAGUUCUCUUGCUUCCUCAGGGAGCUAGACUGUGACAAGAGAACGGGUCAUGACUCCAUUAGGAAGAAAGGGCAGGACAGACUAAGACAAAGAGAGUACUCUAAUACCGUGCGUGAUGAAGUCGAACACAGGAACCAGUUUCAUCAAUCAAGUCGGGAAGAGAAUGUGGAAAA